UACGUAGGCAGCGAGCGUUGUUCGGAGUUACUGGGCGUAAAGGGUGUGUAGGCGGUUGUUUAAGUUUGGGGUGAAAUCUCCCGGCUCAACUGGGAGGGUGCGCCGAAUACUGAAUGACUUCGAGUGCGGGAGAGGAGAGUGGAAUUCCUGGUGUAGCGGUGAAAUGCGUAGAUAUCAGGAGGAACACCGGUGGUGUAGACGGCUCUCUGGACCGUAACUGACGCUGAGACACGAAAGCGUGGGUAGCAAACAGG
This 254-nucleotide ribosomal RNA is filed under the name uncultured bacterium. RNAcentral's name for it is "partial 16S ribosomal RNA". It matches the Rfam family "Bacterial small subunit ribosomal RNA", at positions 524 to 776 of the family's 1533-position model. The record is from RNAcentral.